GCAGUGGCUUUUCAAGCCUUAACUCCAGUCUCUGGAACUUUUUGCCAGUAAGGCUAUGAUUUUUUUUUUUCUACCAGUAUUUCCCAUAGCCAUAGUCAUGAAGAAUGGGCAGGAUCCUCGAUCCCAAAAACCAGUAAGUCAUAAUUUUUACUCCUUUCAUUUGCAGGUCUUUUUUUCUCUUCUAUGAUUUCUGUAUGCUUUUGAAUGCCUUCCAAUGCAAUAGUUUAAUAAAAUUCAAAUACUUGUUUUUACAAAUUUAACUAUAUUUUACUAUUGUUAUAUGCAGGGCAGCGUGAUACUGGCAUAAAGAUAGGCAUGCUAUGGUUUGAAUGUGUCUUCUCCAAAAUUCGUGUUGAAACUUAAUGGCUACUAUGAUGGUAUUAAGAGGUGACGCCUUUAAGAGGUGGUUGGGCUAUGAGGACAUCUCUUGAGGGAAUGGGAUUAGCUGCUCUUACAAAAGGGCUUGACAGAGGGAGUUUGGUCCCUUUCUUGUCAUCCUGACAUGUGAGGACAGGGCAAGAAGGCCUUCACCAGAGACCAGAUGAUGGCGCCUUGCUUUUGAACAUCCCCAACAUCCAAAACAUUGAGAAAUAAAUUUAUAUUCUUUAUAAAUUACCCAGAUGUAGUACUGUUAUAGUAGCACAAAACAAACUAAGACACUGAUCUAUAGAUCAAUGAAAGAGAGUAUUAUAGAGAGCAUCAUAUAUACACAUAUAGAGAUAUAGAUAUGUGUACACAUAUGCAGACAUUCAACAGAUUUUUGUCAAAAGUGUUAAGGUGAUUCAGGAGAACAGUCUUUUUAACAAGUGGUGCUGGAAAAACUAGAUAGCUGUAUGGAUAUAAAAAUGAACAUAGACCUUACACCACAAAACAAAAUAGAUAAUAGACUUAAAUGUACCUGUUAAAACUAUAAACCUCUGAGAUUAAAAGAGGAUUUUUCCUUGUGACAUCUUUUCUCCUCUAUCAUUACUGCAAGUACUCCUACAGCUUUGUUGUUGCUGUUGUUGUAUUGAACAACGUGUGAUUAUCUCUUUUAGUUAGUAGGCACAGAAAUUCUAUUGUUUUAUUUGUUUUAAAGAGACAGUCUCACUCUGUCACCCACGCUAACGUGGCCUAACAGUGAUGGACGGAGUGGGGAAACCCAACAAGGUUGCUUUGUACAAUUCCCCUUCCCCUGGGUAUGGGGCAGGACCCCUCGGGAAUGAGGGGUUUUCCAGGGAGAAGGGACAGAGUGACCUUGCUAGGUUUUAUGGCUAUGUUUGGGAGAGAGGAGUUCUAGUUUCUAUGACCUGCCUUGGGGAAAACAAAUUCUGGUUUCUGUGACUCACUUUGUGGGAGAAAAGGGCACAGGAACCAGGAGGGAAGGACAAAGGCUAGGCUUCUGAGAUCUUCCAGUCUCCUCUGGGUCAGAGUAGUCCACAUGCCAAAGGGGCCAUACUUUGGGGUUUAAUGAGCCCUGACAGCAGGUCCUUGCAGAUUUCACAGGCAACCUGUGAUCUAAGUAAUUGGCUUUCAGUCCCCCAAUUUCAGAGGACUUUAGCAAAGCCUGGUUGAAAUGGCCAAGUGUUAGAAGAAUCUCUUCAAAGUUGAAAUUCAUCAAGUUCUUCAGCUGAGGGUGGAAGAAUCCCAGAUGUAAGGUUAGCAAGAGUUAGGACUUCUGGAGUCUUCCCCGCAUGCCCUGGCUCUUGAGUAUCAACAGGCCAGAAGCUCACAGUAUCUGAUCCUCCUGUGGCUCAGCAGGGAUGCUUUAGAGCAGCAUGUUUGGAAUGAAACUGGCACACUUAAUCAAGCCUCAAGGGCCGUUUGAAGUCAUGUGUGGCCCACACUGGCCUCAUGGGAACACAGGUGCUCCAUGACCCAAUAGGUUCAGGACUAGGUGGGGGGAAACUCCAACCCUGAAAACAUCCCCCUGCUGUCUAGACCAGCCUGCCCCAUGGCCAAGGGCAGUGAGAACCCCGGCCACCCCUUGGGUUGCACCCCUGCCAGUGCUAGAAUUUUGCCCAUCCUGGGCAGAAAAGCUCCGCAUUUGGCUAAGGACAUAACUGGAAAGAAAUGCCCACGUUUUUCACUGUGGGGCAUGAAAAUACAGGGAGGCCGGAGCCUGAUGUGUCUGCGGCCACCCAGCUGGAGGCGGAUGGGCUGCGCUUCUCAAAUUGCUUUGAGGAACGUUCUUUUAGUGGGGAGGGAGUGCCUUUCCUGAAGAAGUCCUUGGGAUGGACAUGCUGAUCCUGAAUGAGUCUUAAGAAGUACAGGUUUCCCAAGACCCGGAGAAGACAGCAAGCCUGUGUUCCCAGCCAGCGCUAGUGGCAGCUGGGUUCCGGGCAGGUGGAGCCGACGUGGUCUGGAGCCCGCAGCCACACUCUGGCACCUCCUCAGGCGGUUUUCAAGGGUGGGUUCCAGCCAGGCAAGUCCUACGCACUCCUGCCUAGGUGGCAUGGCCACGGGAAGGACAGCCUCAGGAGGUAGAUGGACAAGGACCCUCCUUGCCUGCUCCCUACAGGCUGUGUGCUGCAGGCCACUUUCAAUGACCUACGUUCCCAAAACCAUCAGGUCCCAACUUUGCUGGCACACGGUGUCAACUGGGGUGUCCCGCGGGGUGGGUGAGGGGUGCCAGGGACUCCUCCGGCCUUGUCACCCAGACCCCCACCCCUGUCCUUAGGGUCCCUGCACUCAGCGGCUGUUCUGGGGCCAGGCACUCUGGACCCCACGUGGUGCACAUGCCGGAGCCCAAUUCACUCGAGUCUGCGGGAACUGAUGCUGCUGAAGACACCACUGUUCUCACAAACAUCUCUGCUUGUGGAUUCUUCUCAGUGCAAAUGUAGCACCUGCUAUGAUUUUUUUUUUUUCUUUUCUGCUUUAGAGAUGGGGGUCUUGCUCUGUUACAGCCCAGGCUGGAGUGCAGUGGCACAAUAACGGCUCACUUGACUGCUCGGGUUUGAGCCAUCCUCCCAUUUCAGCCUCCUGAGUAGCUGGGUCCACAGGCACGGCGCCACCACGGCUGGCCUGAAUUUUCUUUAAUGGUUUGGAGUUCCCAUCAAACUAAACGCUAAUCAAAGGAUAGCAUUAUAGAGUAUGUGAAAUUAUAACAUUAAUACAUGUGAGAUAGGGCUGGCUGCUGUGAGAAAAUCUGGCCAGUCUGGGAAGCAUUAAUAGGACUCACCUUGUUUUCCUUUCUCAGGUACUUCUCCACAGCCUUACAUUCAAUGUACUGAAAAAUGCUGCUUGAUACAUUUUGUCUAGUUUGUUACAGGUUGAAGGGUAAAUCUUGGCCUGAAGCAGAAGUCCUCUGCUCUUUUUUUCUCUGAAUUACGUUUGAUCUGCCAGUAUUUUCCUGUAUUCUUGAAAGUUUAAUUGACUUAAUUUUCUCUAAUGUAGGCUUUCAAAGUUACACAACUCCAAGCACUGCUUUAGCUCAAUCUCACAGGUGUUGACAAAUUGUAUUUUCUUUUUUCUUUCUUUUUUUAUUUUUUGAGGCAGAGUCUCGCUCUGUCACAGAGGCUGGAGUGCAAUGGUGCGACCUCGGCUCACUGAAAUCUCCGCCUCCCGGGUUCAAGGGAUUCUCUUGCCUCAGCCUCCCGAGCAGCUGGGACUACAGCGCGUGCCACCACGCCUGGCUUUUUUGUGUUUUUAGUAGAGACGGGGUUUCACCGUGUUAGCCACGAUGGUCUUCAUCUCCUGACCUCGUGAUCCAUCCGCCUCGCCUCUCAAAGUGCUGGGAUUACAGGCGUGAGCCACAGCACCCGGCCUGAUAAAUUGUAUUUUCAUUCAAAAAAAAAUCCCACUAUUUGCUGACCCAUGGGGAUGUUUAAUUCCAAACUUUUACUUUCCCCAUUCUCUUAUUUCCAAACUGAAAAUACAUAUUACAAAUACACAAUUGGCUUUGUCAAUUUAUCUUAACCCUGUCUGAUACUCUGGAUUAAUUGGUGUAUAAUCCACCUCUAGGUACGAGAGUUUAACUGGCUUGCUGUUUUGUCAUUCUUUACCUCUUAAAAAACUAAUUUGUAUUAAUCAUUUUCAUUACUCCCUUUUUCCCCACUACUUGUUAUACCUUUAUUAUUCUUAGUGGUUAUGGAGAUUAAAAUAUGGUUCCAUGAUUUAUUAGAGUCUACUUAAAUAGUACUUUUACCAUUUACUGAGGAAUGAAUCUCACAACAGCUCAAAUUACCUACUUCCACUUUUGAAUUUCCACAUUUUAAACUUCUUAAAACACUAUUGGUCUGUCAUGUAGUUACCCUAAAAUUUAGUGUUUUGAUCAUAUAAAUUUGUAAUAACUUUAAUUUGCUUAAGUAAGACUUCUUACUAUUCCCUUCCCAUCCAGUAGGGUUCUUUCUGAUCUAUUCUCCAAGCAGUGGCCAAUUUGUAUUAAAACUAGGUCACUUCAAACUGUUUACUAUUUUCCAACUGUUCUUCGCAUACCAUGUAAAUUCCCUUCUAUGGCUUACAAGGUUUGUAUGACAGGUCCUCUAACUCUACAACUCUGUCUUAGACCAUUUUUUUCCCAAGCCAUUUACUGGCUUCUCAUCAUAUCCAGGAGCAGACUUAGCCCCGCGGCACUGAACUCUUAAAAAUUCAGUUACCAAGUACAAUUUGCCUGACCCCAAGGUCUUAUACUUACUGUCCUAAGAGUAGUUUUAUACACCAACCCCUUUUAUAUCCUUCACAGUAGCAAUCGGAAUUGUUCUCCUUGCUUCAAUCAAGGUAUCUCACGUUAGUUCACUACCUAGCAUGCAGUAACGUAAUUCAUUAGUAUGUUUAAAUGUUCAUACUGUGAAUACUCUAAUUUUUCAGAUACUCUCAAAUUACCCUCUAAAAGGCCCGUGCUAACUUAUCCUCUAAUUAAAAAAAUUAAGGAUUUUACAAAAAUAGAUCAUACUGAUUCAAAUAGCCCCAGCAAAUAUAAUCAAAAGGGCACUAAGCAAUGAUACCAGAAUGCAGUGGUGCUUAAAAUGCAGGUUCAAUGUUUAAUAUUGUGUUAAAUAUGUCUUUGGAGUCCUUGAAUAAGACUUUCUUUUGCAUCUACAUUAACAGAUGAAUAGUCUCCAAAUGUAGAGAAAACAUAGUGUAGGUUUGCUAAUUUCCAAUGGCUUCACCAAAAUUACAGGUUAAACAUUUUGUGUCUCUCUUAUCAGUCAUCAGUGCUUCAAAAUGUAGUUUUUCACGGUCAGGUACCUGCCUUAGACUUUAUGAUACGCAAUACUUUAUGGGAGGCCUGAAUUUAAACACAUUUUCAUUAUCACUAAUAUGAGGAAAAAACACAAAACAUUAUUUUUAUUAUUCUUUCUUCCUUCUUAGCACUCUUCUAUCCUAAGAUUUUAGUGCCACAGGUACUAUGGGUGCAGCCUGAGAAUACUGAGGUAGUUUCUUCUGGUAGAAUUAACUACAUUCUCCUUAACCUUUCCCUUUUUGUGAUUCUAAGGAAUCAAUAAUAAGGAACAGGAGACAUAAUUGUGAGUGUGAUAUAGGGCAACACAAUCUUGUGUCACAGUUGCUGAUACCACAUUAAAAUUCUUAGGCUCUAAUACAUUAUUCAAAUUAUAAGAAUACAGAUAACUUGUUUUCCCUGAUCAGAAUUUUGAUACAUGGAAAUAAUUGCUGAAAAAGCAACAUUUUUGACAGGUUCACAGUCAACAGCUAGAUUAGAGGUAACAGUGUCACUAAGAGUUAAUACGAGGAUAGACCAUAAUUAACUGGAUUUGCUUCAUCCAAACUGAACACUUCCAUUUUAGUUUUGACUUUUAGGUGUUUUCACAGAAAUAGCUCAUUUACAGUUAGUGUUAUGUAUAUAAGCCAAAAUAAAUGUCCAAACAAUUUAUCAGUAAAAAUCUACUGGUCUAGUUAUCAAGCAAUAAUGUAUUUUAUAUUUUCUUGUUUGAAAGCUUUUUAACUAUACUUAUAAAAUUCGGUUCUACCUAGUACAUGAUAUGCCUGUUCGUAGUAUUUUAACCUAACAAAGCAUUUUGAACUCUAUCAUCUGCUCCUCCAAGUUAGGUAAAUUACUUUUUGAUUUGUUGCUUAUUUUGCCAAUGAUGCACCCCAAUGCACUUACUUCAGGAUCAUACAUUUAUAGGGAACUCAAUUUACCAAUCCAUAGUGAAGUCCCUUAGGUUAAUAUUUUUGCAGAGGAUCACACAGCAUGUUAGGAAGAAAGCCAAUAGUUGACCCCAAGUCUUACUUCCAGCAUAGUAAUUUUUUGUGCUUCUGUCCUUGGUGAUAUACAAAUAAUCUAAUUUCAAAAUGUAUGCCAGUGAGGCUGCUCUUUCUCAACCUAUCUUAGUUGUGUGUAAUAAAAUAUAAGUUGGCAUACUUUAAGUAGAAAAUUGAGGACAAUAAGGUUUAUUUACAUGUUCUACCCUCUCCUGAAGGAUGGCUGGACAGAUAACUUCAAAGUUUUUUCAGCUUAUGAAGAAAUGGCCUCCUUGGACUUAAGAAACAGAAAAAAGCUGGGCAUGGUGGUUCAUGCCUAUAAUCCCCGCACUUUGGGAGGCUGGAGGAGGAUCACUUAAGGUUAGGAGUUUAAGACCAGCCUGGCCAACAUAGUGAGACCUGUCUCUAAAAUAAAUAUUUAAAAAGAAAAAAGAAAAGUUUCUCCUACAAUGGUCUUACAAAGCUUUAAUUUCAGAAUAAAAACUCCUUUCACAAUCAAAGAAUGCUUUCCAGCGAAGAACAUUUAUUCUAUCAGUAAUGAGGAAAAAAUACAACUGAUCAAAACCUCUUUGAGAAAGGUAACAGAUAUUGACCCUCAUCAAACAUUUGAGUGCUUGCUAUAAUGACAAACACUAUGCUAAGGGAGAGGGAUACUGGGGAAGGAGAAACUUUUAGGAGUUUCACCCAAUUCCCAUUGAAAGGGAAGAGGCAUCAGGGAUGGCAUCCUAGUGUUCUGAAUUGAGUCAUGAAAGCUAAAUGAAAAAAGAAAUGGUAGUGGGGUAUGUGUAGGGUAUCCCAGGUAUAAGAAACUUGUACUAAGAUGAAAGCCUAUUAGUAGUUCAGCAUAGUUAACGUAGCUAGUGUAUAGGUUCUGUGCACCUAAGUAGGUUAGAAUUGGGAGGUGGGGGUAGUGUGAGUCCUGGAAAAAACCCCUGAACUUUUUACUAUAUGCAUAAGGAUUGUAGUUGAAUUCUGAAAGCCAUGAAAAGGCACUGAAAGGGUUUAAACAAAGAAAUAACAUGAAAUGAAAUGCUCGUUAGUUAAGAGCAUUCUAGCAUCAGUGAUGAAGUGAUCAAUGCUUGGUGAAAAAAAUUCAUUUAGCAAAUAUUACUGAAAUCCUACUAAAUGCCAAAUGACCAUUUAGGAAGAAACUACAAUAUCCUAGCCCACAAAUCAAAGCAGUGGUAGUGUUCACAAAAAGGAAAUCUAAGAGGAUUAUCAAGUACUGAUAAUGAUGUUUAUCAAUAUGAAAUACAACAUGAGAUACAGGUUUGGUGAAUAGAGGAUUUAGGAAGAAUUUAAAUACAGUAAAAUUGGCUGUCUGACAUGUGAAGGGAGAUACAGGCCAGGCGUAGUGGCUCACACCUAUAAUCCUAGCACUUUGGGAGGCCAAGACAGGAAGACUGCUUGAGUCCAGGAAUUCGAGACCAGCCUGUGCAACACCGCAAGACUCAUCGUGACAAAAAGAAAAAAAAUAAAGGGAGAUACACAGGAGGCAGCUAGAUACAUGGAUCUGGUGCUCUAGAAAGAGUAAGUGGGAAAUAGGCAUCUGAGAAUAUAUACACACACAUGGAGAAGGGAUAAAAACUGCCAAUAUUUGCUGCAUACAUAUAUGCUACAUUAUUUAUAAUAAUUCCCACAAGGUAGAAACGGUCAUUUUCAUUUUAUAGGUGUUAACAACUUAGGCAUAAAGAAUGUCUCGAGUCACUCAGUUACCAUUAACUAAAUUGAAGUCAGUGGAAGAACCAGAUAGUAACCAAAUAUCAGUCACAACUCUACCACUGCAUCACACCCAUUAAAGUAAACUUUAGUUCCUAUUACUUUUAGGUUGGAGGUACUUAGCCUUUGUGAUAACCUCACCAAUAACAGGUCACAGAUGUUUCAUUUUAGGGUAGGUGCAAAAUCCCACUGUUCUGUGUUCAACACUUAGCUAUUCAAAUUAUCAAUAUUCUGUAGUCAGUAUUCACUGUGGUCCAGUUUAAUUCCAACAGCAUUAUUACGAAGUUCCCUGUCCUUCUCCGAGGUUUCCCACAGCCAUGGUAUUUUUAGUUCCCUAAAAACGUCAAAUCUUCAGUGUUGCAAAGAGAAUAACCUUAGCUUGCCUUAUUCAUCUAUAAAUUUGUCCUUCAAGACUGCAAGUCAACUCAUUAAGAGUUUGCCUCUUUAUUCGGGCAAAACUGUUCCUAUUUUAUUGGAGGCUUUAUCUCUAACCUGAAGAACAGGCCCUCUAUAUUCAUGAGUUCUGUAUCCAGCAUCCAUGGAUUCAACAACUGCAAAUUAAAAAUAUUCAGGGGAAAAGAAAACCCUAUAAAGUCCCAAAGACAAUACUUGAAUUUGCCACAUGGUGUUAUGCUGAAUCUACGUGAAGUAAUGUAUGGCACUGUAUUAGGGUUACUCUAGAGAUGAUUUAAAGUAUAUGAGAGGAUAUACAUAGGUUACAUGCAAAUACCAUGCUGUUUUACAUAAGGAACGCGAGCACCCUUGAAAUUUUGUUAUCUGUGGGUGAUCCUGGAACCAAUUCCCCACAGACACUUAAGUACAACUGUAUUUUAUAAGAGCUUUUCUCGCACUAAAUUGAGGUUAAGGGGAGGAGUUGUCCUAUGCAUUUUUAGCUUCAAAUUUAGGUAUUUUUCUUUGAAAAAAAUUGUGUAGCUUUCCUCAAAAUCUUUUUAGAUACCUUUUAAUCUGCAUUGAAGUAUUUCAAAUUUACCAAGUUAAUGUUAACAUUUUUCUUAUCCCAGCACCUUUUAUUUUGCUAAACAAAUAUUUAAGAACUAUUACUACAUGUUUAUUAUUUAUAUCUGUGUGUAAUAUUACAACACCCUUAUUCAAGCAGCCAGGUAGUUCGAUGUGGCUGAGGGGAAAAAAAAAAACCAUUAAAUGUUUACUGCUCACUCUCAAUGACUACAAAUUUGGCUGUAAUGCAAUCUGGACCCAUCCCUCCUCAUACUGUAAUUAACUGUGGAGGCUCUCAUUUAAUAUUGAAGGCACCCCCCACCGCCUUGUCAUGGCUCUAGACCCCAUGUUUUCUCCUAUUUGAUACCUCUCCAAAAAUUCUUCCCUCCCUCUCUCCAUCUACUUUCCCCUCUAACAGAGAAUAAAGGCUUGUCAAAGGUCACAAAAGCCAAUAUGAAAAAUAAGUAACAAGUAUAAAAUAAAUAUAACUGAGUAUAUAUAUAAAAGAAAUGGAGACAAAUCUUUCUUAUAGAAAAAUUCCAAAUACUGUGUAGAUACCUAACCCCAAAAGGAUAUGGAACUUAAUUCCCCCGUCUUAUCAUGAUGAUGGACUACACUUAGUAUAACCUGAUUUGAAAGAGUAACAGUAGGUAAAAGGAGAAACAGUAACUGCAAUGGUGAAUCAGGGCAAACCCUACCUUAACCAAAUGACGAAUGUUAACAUUCCCAGUGAAGUCACAGGGUUAUGAUGUACCCUGCACAGGAAGUGACAAGAAAGACACUUUUCCUCUGUGUAGGAAGUGACAAGAAAGACACUUUUCCUCUGUGGUAUUCUCUGCAAAACCCCAUAAUCCCAGUCUAAUCGUGAGAAAAACCAGUCAAAUACAGAAUGCAGUGGUGGAUAUUCUAGAGGAUACCUGGCUAGUACUCUCUUAAGAUUGUCAAAAUCAUCAAAAAUGAGGAAAGAAUGAAAAACUGUCAUAGAGGAGAAGAGAGCAGGAAGGUAUUAGUAGUACAAGAUGGUACUCUAGAUUAUGGAAUAUCUUAAGGGGAAAAAUGAUAACAUUCUAGUAAAAUCUGUAAUGUAAUUAAUAGUAACAUACCAACGCUGGUUUUGGUUUUGAGAAAUAUACACACAUGGCAAUUUAAGAUGCUAAUGACUGUAGAAAAUUAGUGGGGAUAUAUGAGAACUGUCUGCACAAUCUUUGCAACUUUUCUUUAAAUCUAAAGUUAUCCAAAAUAGUGUUUGUCUAACCUCCCUGACUAUAAUUGGCUGAAAUUAUAUAUUCUCUACCAAAUUACCAGACUAAAAAAUAUCUGACUAUCGGGCUUAACAAUUUCACAUUUAUUUUCUCAAAAGAGUUUUGGCUUUUAUUACACAUAAUACUGAAAUUUCCCAUCAUGUUUGGGGGUGAAUCCCUACUUUGCUAUUCCUGUGGCUUCCUUGGGCAAGUUUUUAAUUUCCCCGUGCUUUAACCCUCCUUUUCGCAAAACACAAGAUAUGCAAGAGUAUAUACUCUCACAAGAUCAUAGGGAGAAUUAGAUAAUGCCUGCAAAUCUCUCUCUCUCUCUCACACACACACACACACACACACACACACACGAAACUGUCUUUUAGUUAAACCUGUCUACUCAAUUUCCCCAGAAAUAGAAAUACCAUUUCCAGGUCAGGAAAGCCAUGAGGGUAUUUCUAUUUAAAAAACAUUUAAACCUUAUGUCAAAAACAGGGGGCAAAGUGGAGAAAUUCCCUACCUUCUUACCAACAUCCACAACACUGGCUAUGUACACAAGAUAGCAAGAAGGGGAGAUGACAUGGUUUCAGAGAUCUAAUUUAGCUUGGUAAUUGUGCCUAGAGAUGAUCUUCUAUUUAGAUCUAGUUCUGAACUUGGACAUUUAUUACCAGAUAUCAUUCAAUAUUGUUUAGAUGAAAGGACUCCAAAUAGAAACUUAAGAAAACUUAGCUGUUAAGCUGACAGUUGAGUGCUUUAUAUAAGGUGACAGUUUAAGAGUAAUUCAGGAAGCACACUACGAUAUGGUAUUUUACCACAUGGAAUGAGGGAUGUAAUGUUCUGGCAAGAAGUGUGCAACUAAUUUAGGAGCUCUCUAUUUAAAACGAAAAAAAGGUUAAAUUAAAAAUUCUGAGGUUGCAGUGAUAAUGGCUUUGGAAUUUAAAAUACCAAGCACUCAUAUAUAAAAGGUAGGUGAAUAUAAAGAGUGUAAAAAAUUAACAAAUCAAAGGUAACAGAAAACUGUAAUUAGUUUAAAAAUGAACAUUAGAUCAGAGUUUAAAAAUCUCUAGUUUAUUUCUAACAAACACCACUUGAUGCUUGACUCACAGGCUUUAUUUACAUUUGUCUACAG
This 11181-nucleotide long non-coding RNA is filed under the name Homo sapiens (human). RNAcentral's name for it is "HSALNT0008744". Lineage: Eukaryota; Metazoa; Chordata; Mammalia; Primates; Hominidae. The record is from RNAcentral.